GGGUGUCUCCUUCCCUCACCAUCCAUGUGCGUCCCUGCCUAAGCUGCGCGCUCGGUCGAAGAGGACGACCUUCCCCGAUAGUGGAGAGCGCUGUUCUUCGGUCAAGGGUAUAGAGUGGCUGAGCUCCCCUGCUAGAACCUCCGUACAAGCUCUCAAAAUAUAUUCUUUACAUCAUUAUUUAAAUUAUUUUAGGAAUUAUUCAUUUAUUUUAGAAAUUAUCAAGAAAAGAUCGUGUUGGCUU
This 241-nucleotide small RNA is filed under the name Pteropus vampyrus (large flying fox). RNAcentral describes it as "7SK RNA (ENSPVAG00000029356.1)". It matches the Rfam family "7SK RNA", at positions 81 to 331 of the family's 331-position model. From Rfam's summary of the family: 7SK was discovered as an abundant small nuclear RNA in the mid-70s but a possible function has only recently been suggested. Two independent studies have found that 7SK RNA binds the CDK9/cyclin T complex (known as elongation factor P-TEFb). Lineage: Eukaryota; Metazoa; Chordata; Mammalia; Chiroptera; Pteropodidae. The record is from RNAcentral.